This 75-nucleotide transfer RNA is filed under the name SAR202 cluster bacterium AD-804-J14_MRT_500m. Its description in RNAcentral is "tRNA-Pro". It matches the Rfam family "tRNA". From Rfam's summary of the family: Transfer RNA (tRNA) molecules are approximately 80 nucleotides in length. The record is from RNAcentral. Lineage: Bacteria; Bacillati; Chloroflexota; Dehalococcoidia.
CGGGGCGUAGCGCAGCGGUAGCGCGCUUGGUUUGGGACCAAGAGGCCGUGAGUUCAAACCUCACCGCCCCGACCA